This 308-nucleotide ribosomal RNA is filed under the name uncultured eukaryote. RNAcentral's name for it is "partial 18S ribosomal RNA". It matches the Rfam family "Eukaryotic small subunit ribosomal RNA", at positions 1470 to 1796 of the family's 1831-position model. The record is from RNAcentral.
CCCUUAGACGUUCUGGGCCGCACGCGCGCUACACUGACGAAGGCAACGAGCUUUCCUUUACCGAAAGGUACGGGUAAUCUUUUGAAACUUCGUCGUGCUGGGGAUAGAUCCUUGCAAUUUUUGAUCUUAAACGAGGGAUUCCUAGUAAGCGCAAGUCAUCAACUUGCGUUGAUUACGUCCCUGCCCUUUGUACACACCGCCCGUCGCUACUACCGAUUGAAUGGUUUAGUGAGGCCUUCGGAUCCGCGACUCGUUUUGUGGAGAAGUUGGACAAACUCAGUCAUUUAGAGGAAGUAAAAGUCGUAACA